Vicia villosa (hairy vetch) is the source of this 1396-nucleotide long non-coding RNA. RefSeq lists it as uncharacterized. The transcript is spliced from 2 exons. The record is from RefSeq and is a predicted model, not a curated record. Lineage: Eukaryota; Viridiplantae; Streptophyta; Magnoliopsida; Fabales; Fabaceae.
AGUCAGUGUCAAUAGCUGUAACAAGGACCAAACACACACCAUUAAAUACACUCCUUCUCCCUCUAUGGCACAGUGAAAGCAAUUGACAUUAAUUCAUAUAUGGAUCCAUCCAUCCAUACAUACACAAGAAUCACGAGCCAGCCCUUUUUAUUUUGUCAAUUUCUUCAUCUCUAUCUAUAUAUCCAUCCAUCAUCAAGAUCUACCAUCAUGCUUCAUUCAUUCAUUCUUCACAAGUAUGUAUCUAUAUAUCUAUAUCUUAUGUUGCUUUGAGAGGUUGAAGCUGCCAGCAUGAUCUGUUAUAAGAUGUGGUUCGGUUCGAUCAGGUCAUCUUGCAGCUUCAAUCACUCAAUUAUCAACAGAUAAUUAACUUCCUCCAUUUCCAUCUGUUCAAUUUCACAGGUAAAUAAAUCUCUAAUCCUUAUCCUAUAAAUUUAUACAAUUUUAAUUAAUGAAAUUUUUUCAACUUUACAUGUGCAAAUACAUGUGCUUUAACUCUUGUCAUUAAUUAUAAAUUACUUUAUUCCAGCUACUCACAUUCACAAUCACAUGCACGUAUUUGUUUAUUACUAGUAAUAAUUAAUUUUUGUAUAUAAAUAUAUAUUAUAGAAGAAAGAACAGAAGAAGAAAUAUAUAUGGACAUUAAUGCAAGACAAAGUAUGAAUCCAUUUUUAUUUCUUCUUUUUUAAGUGGUACUGAUUAUUUGUCUGGUAAUCUCAACAACCUUUAUCUAACUUUUUUGGGAUGCAUUUAGCACGAGUACUGCACAGACAAAAUUUGAAACGGUUUCAUUUGUUACUUUCUUCCAUAGACAACUGUUUGUGGUGGUCCUAUCUUUUGUACUGUCGCAAUCUACUCAUCUUGUCUUAUGCACUAUUUCAUUUUUUUUAUAGUUAAAUGUGAAGUUUCUAUAAUAAUAUCUUUGAAUUUUGAAUAAUUGGCAUUGUAGUUUGGUUUAUCUUAACCUAGGUUUAGCUUUGGUUCGGUUCGGUUUGGUUCUACUUGAGUCUUGAACUAUUUAAUUGAUGAGAUGCUAGGGUCAUUUCAAUGUACGUUGAUGCUAACAAAAUCUUAUGUAAUUUGUGAACAUUUAUGAACCAAGACAGGUUUUAGAACCAACUCCAAAACAAGGUAUGAUUAUUAUUAUUUAUGAAAAGGGUCCCUCUUUUGUACUCACUUGGUUGCUGUCCCUGUCAACUAUGUGUGAAGCUUGUAAAGCAAGAGCCUUAGUGGUUUCAUGAUAUACCAUGGAACAUAAGAGAUUAUGGUUUAGAUUGUGUUGAUGUAUACUUACUUACUAGCUAAUCCAGUGGCAGAUGUAAUAGGUAAAAUAUAUUUAUCUAGUUUUGUAAGUAUAGUUCAAAUGGAUAAAAGACUAUUUGAGAUGUUGUGAUUAAAA